This is a long non-coding RNA of Harpia harpyja (harpy eagle), 4333 nucleotides long. RefSeq lists it as uncharacterized. The transcript has 2 exons. Lineage: Eukaryota; Metazoa; Chordata; Aves; Accipitriformes; Accipitridae. The record is from RefSeq and is a predicted model, not a curated record.
GCUCCCUUGCUUUCUUCACAGCUUCUGCACCCCCGAAAUGACUUUAUCACCCUUCCCUGCCACAUUUCCUCCUGCUAUUUCUGGGCAAUAUCCAUUUCCUAUGUGAUCUUUCGGACUGUCAAUGAUACUGCUUUUAAUAUCUGAUUAAACUCCAUUUUCAGCUUCAUUUUCCAGUUGCUUAACUCAUUUUUCUGUUGUCUUCCUAACACAUCUAUCUUGGCCUUCUUUCUUCCAAAUUCCUUCAUUCUGUCUACCAUUUAAUGUAGCUUAGCAUCAUUUGCUUCUCCACGAUUCUAUUAUGUGAUGCUUUUGUGACUCCUCUUACUCUCUUUGAACCUACUGGGUAUUUAACCUUCUGUAAUUAAUAAUUUCUGUCUUUAAAGUUUACGCUUUAUAUUUCCCCUUUAUUAGCACUUUUAUUCCUGCAUUUACAAACACUAUAUUGAUUCUGGUGAGAGUUUCAGUUGGUCUCCUUAUUAUUCAGACAUGAAGUAAUGAUGUUUUCACUCUCUUUAGGAAUAAUUUUAUUACCCUUUCUGAUCAACUUCUCCAUAGAUUGUAACUUCAGAGAAGUCAGAACUUCUACGUAAUGCGUAUCAGAAUUCAUCUGUCAAGUCUUCUACCAAGCCUACUGAUCUGCGGUUGGGUUAAGAUGUCUUUAGGAAGAUACUCCCCUAUCCAUCUGAAAAUCUUCAAGAGAUGAAGCAGCCAUUAUAACCCUUUGGUGAGUAGUCUCAGUUAAUUAAUUACUCUUAUCAAAAAUGUGUGUCUCUGGGUUUUGAUACGUUGUCCGACUUCAGCUUUCAGCUACCGCACUUUGUUGGCUUUAGCUUCUCAUGCAGGCUGAGAGCACACCGUAAUUCUGGUACUGAAGAGUGUGUCUUUUCUGAUGUUUUUCCCUCAUUAUUUCGACCCCCCUUUUUGAAGUAUACCAAGUAUAAACAGUAUUUAAUAACUUCUUCAUGAAUGACAGACAAGUAAGUAAUGCACCCUUCUGUGUUCCCAGGUGAAUGUUAGCCCGUCUGUGUUCAGCUGGUCACUGACCAUUGACUAGGCCCUGUAAGUUAUUUUUAGGAUGUUUUCCCCUACAGACCUGUAUAGGUGAUUUGCAAAUGCUAUAUUAGUGGUAAUUUUCUAUUUUAUUGUCAAUUAUUUUCUCACAAAUAUCAUUCUAUUCCCCUUCUUUUACUUUGAGUCAGUUUUCUGGUUUGUAUUUCUUUGCCUUCAAGAAUGCUUUUUCAUCCUCGUCUUUGAAAACCCCACCUUUAACUGGCUUCCUCAGUCUAUUACAACUUUUAUUCUCUUCCAGGGCUCACCCCACCUCUCGUUUAAUUGUUAUGUAUUUCCUCCUGGAAGUCCCACCUCCCAUUUAACACCUUCAAAAUUAAGCUUUUAAAAUACUUUCGCCUUCCGCUGGCCUCGCUGUGCAUAGUGCCCAACAGCCAGCCUCCGCCUCCUGGACCCAAACAGUUAAGACCGUCCUCUGUAUUGGUUUUUGGCUACAGUCUCACAAAUCUUGUCUUUCACAUUUAAUUAUUUUCCCUUUUGGCUUUCUCUGAGACCAGGAUGUUGUCUGGAAUCUUACCAUGUUACGAAAGCACUACAUCCCAAGCAAAACUGUCUUUUCCCAUUUCUGCUAUGUUGCUUCUUUCAUAUGGCUCACUCUCUGUCUGGAAUGUCUUCUGUGCUCAUCAGUCUCCUUAAAACAUGUGAAUGCCAGUAAGUUUGAGCAUAUUUCCCACAAGAUCUCUACAUCUGUCUCCACUCCUGCCGCUUACUCUUUUGGGAAAAAAUCUUAGGAUAGGGAACUCUUCACAGGGACUUAAUUAGAAAACAAACUAUAUUUACGAUACUAUAAUUUCAUUAGGUAUGAUACGAACGUAUCAUUAUCAUCAUACUGUUAUUAAAUGAUAUGUAAUUCCUAACUCUGCUCCAUCCAGCUGAAGGGCUGAGGAUAACAAGUAGUUUUAACAUUCUUUGGUUUUAUUAAACUCUUGGGAGAGUCUAUGAGAAAUUUUAGCACUCAAGGAUAAAGUGUUUUGCCUCUCCAAGAGGAUGAUUGCCCCCUUCAUGCUAUGGCUGGCUGACAGUGCUAGAAAUCCUCCUGAAGGCUGCCUGCUACAAGUAAAAUGAAAUUCCUUUUUGAAUUUUCCUAAUUUCAAAGUAACUGUGCGCAGAAAUUGAAAUUUCAGGUCAGCAAUACAAUACUAACAUCAGCUAAGUGCCAGCCCGUACAGUGAAGAUGGGAAGAGUGCAGGAAUGCUGGUGAAGCAAGAAGAAAUGUCCUGGUUUUGACUCUAAGGACAGUCAGUCAGGGGCUGUUUGUGGGUGUGAAAGCUGUCUGUCCGUUUCUUACGCUAGGCUGGCCUACAAGCAGGAUGAAAAGGUAGGUACUUCGCAUCUUUAACUUAAGAAAGCUUGUGCAUAUUAUCAGACUUACAGCUGUGCAGGCACAAGGGAACAAGAAGAACACUAAAGAAGACAUGUCAUCUUCAGUUCGCUACCCUUUUCUUAAAGAGGAAACGUGGAGGGGCUGAGGCUGUUCCUCCUUACGCAGUCUUGGACCUCCCAGCAGCAGCAUUUUCUGGAGGUUUGGGCAGUCCCACAGCUGGAAGUCAGUGCUGCAACACUGGAAAAGCAAGUAAGUCACUUCUUUUUAAACACUGAUGAUUGGCAGCGUGUCCAGUUGAACUGAAUACUCCUGCUAGUGGAGGGAGACAAGAGAAUUCAGACUAGCAAAACCUAAUGGUAGUGGGCACUUGUGACCCUCAGAUGGAAGGGGUUUUUCAGUUGGGAGGCAAAACUGGCGAGGCAUGCUUCCAGAGAAGUACUAGGGCUGUAGGAUACAUCAUUUGAAGAAACUUGUAAUUAGAUGUAACAGCCUACUCUCAGAUACUAAAUUGUCACAAAAUCUCUUAGAUCAUCUACCCACAAAACUGCUUAGCCUGAUCUCUGUCUUAAACCUAGAUUUCCUAUUUUUAUUUAAAGGUUGCCCCUUCAUCAACCAAUACUCUAAAUCAUUUUUGUAUUCAAAAUGUUAGGCUCUUUGUCCUUGAAUAUUUAUCAAAGAAGGUAACUAGAUUUUGAGCACUCAGAAAAACAUGACACUUCUCAAGGGGCUGCUCUCCACCCUUAUCUGGACAUCUAAAACGCAGACAAUGCAGCACUUGGUAACCAGUCUGCGCACCUGUCCUGUCACUGAGGUGUUUGUUCUUGUUACUACAACAAGUCUCACCGAAGUUCAAAGGGGAUAACUGGCUGCAAACCUCCCAGGGAAAACCUCGCCUGUAGAAAAGAGCAGCACACCUUUAUCUUCUGCAUAAUGCAAGUUGUGUUUGGUAAGGUUGCCAUAUGUUGGUAUCCUGUAAAAAUAAAAUAAUAGGACUUAACUUCUAUACAGACUCAUUUAGUUUAGCAGUAUUGGUUAAUGGAGAAAAUAAACUGCAUGUAAAAUCAUGUAUUUUAUUGAGCCAGCCACAUUUUCCGAAGGCAGCUUGCCUUUUUUUGGUCGGUUUGUUUCUAAUUGCAUACUUAAUUCAUACACUUUUUAUAAAGCAUUUGCAAAUUAAGUUAUCCCUGCUAACCUCAAUGUGGUUUAAUUAAGAGUAACAAUUCUUUACUUUCAAUAUCCCAACUAUGCUCCUGUCAAAUUUCUCUAACAACCAGUUGCUCGCUGUAGUUUGAGCUACGGAAUUGCAGAGGGACAUAAAUCAUUUAACUGGAAGGUUUACACAGUUGCAGAAGGAAAGCAUUAUUACUGUUUGUUUCUUCCAAAAUAAAUUUCACACUGAGGUCAAGUAAGGGAGUACAGUGCAUGCAGACUUAACAGUGCAUACCAACCAGAAUUACAUGACAUUGUUAAUUAUCUUUCCCUAAAACUGUUGACAGAGUUAGAAACAAAUUCAGUCUGCAGUUAAAGCACUCUUACGAAGGAUUUGAAGAGGCUGUGAACUAUACCCCCCACAUUUUUUGAAAGAUCUGAUGUAUCAGCAGCUUUGUAAUCCCUGUCAGUUCACCUCUGAUGGGAACCCCACCUCCUAGAGGGAGUUCAUUUUGCCACUCGAUACACGGAAUAUUAAAGCACUGCACAUGCUUCCUAUUGAUUCAUGUAGCUUACCUACCUACGAUGGUAGUACUUGACUGCAGCUGAAUCAUUAUUACUCUCUGAAGUUGCAGGCAAGCAGAACAGAGACCAGUUUCCCCAAGUAAAGCUGUUUAUAUACAUAGUCUGUCUUAUUUGCCACCUCAUUCACUAAAAUUCCAUAAAUAAUGCUUAAAUUAUAUACAGUAUCAUAGAAGUGGGUCUUUAUUCUUCCCCCAAAUAAAUUACUUU